AUAUCAAUAAGCGGAGGAAAAGAAACUAACAAGGAUUCCCCUAGUAACGGCGAGUGAAGCGGGAUGAGCUCAAAUUUAAAAUCUGGCUGGUUUACUAGUCCGAAUUGUAGUUUAAAGAAGCGUUUUCGGUGGCAGCCUGGGUAUAAAUCCUUUGGAACAGGGUAUCAUAGAGGGUGAGAAUCCCGUCUUUGACUCAGUGCAUGCUACUAUGUGAUACGUUUUCAAAGAGUCGAGUUGUUUGGGAAUGCAGCUCAAAAUGGGUGGUAAAUUUCAUCUAAAGCUAAAUAUUGGCGAGAGACCGAUAGCGAACAAGUACCGUGAGGGAAAGAUGAAAAGAACUUUGAAAAGAGAGUUAAACAGUGCGUGAAAUUGUUGAAAGGGAAACGCUUGACACCAGUCAUGCGAGCGGAAAAUCAGUCUUUUGCGGUGGGGAGUUGUGUGGGUUCGGACCGCAAGGCCGGCCUGCGCUUCAUCUCUGCUGUAAGUGAUGCACUUUUUCGUUUGCAGGCCAACAUCAGUUUCUUCUGCUGGACAAAACUCUUGAGAAGGUAGCAGCUUAGGCUGUGUUAUAGCUCUUGAGCGAUACAGUGGAGGAGACUGAGGUUUUCGCAGCGCGUGCUUUCGGGCAAGGCUGAUUGGGUGCUAUGGGAUCGUUCGGUGUACAAUGCAUGCAUUUUGCGCCGUGUCUUUUCUAUACUCGCUCAACUCGGCUCUUCCGCGCUUAGGAUGUUGGCUUAAUGGUUUUAAUCGA
RNAcentral lists this ribosomal RNA (751 nucleotides) under uncultured fungus. RNAcentral's name for it is "eukaryotic LSU rRNA". It matches the Rfam family "Eukaryotic large subunit ribosomal RNA", at positions 40 to 647 of the family's 3401-position model. The record is from RNAcentral. Lineage: Eukaryota; Fungi.